GAUGAACGCUAGCGGCAGGCCUAAUACAUGCAAGUCGAACGGUAAAUAUUGUAGCAAUACAAUAUGAGAGUGACGCACGGGUGCGUAACACGUAUGCAACCUACCCUUUACAGGGGUAUAGCUCGGGGAAACUCGAAUUAACACCCCAUGAUAUAAUUGAAUGGCAUCAUUGAUUAUUAAAUCUGCGGAGGUAAAGGAUGGGCAUGCGUCUGAUUAGCUAGUUGGUAGUGUAACGGACUACCAAGGCGAUGAUCAGUAGGGGAACUGAGAGGUUGAUCCCCCACACUGGCACUGAGAUACGGGCCAGACUCCUACGGGAGGCAGCAGUAGGGAAUAUUGGUCAAUGGGUGAGAGCCUGAACCAGCCAUGCCGCGUGCAGGAAGACGGCCUUCUGGGUUGUAAAACUGCUUUUUGCCAGGGGCUAAAAUGCCCAUGCGUGGGAAAUUGAAAGUACCUGGUGAAUAAGCCACGGCUAACUACGUGCCAGCAGCCGCGGUAAUACGUAGGUGGCAAGCGUUGUCCGGAUUUAUUGGGUUUAAAAGGGUGCGUAGGCGGCUCUGUAAGUCAGUGCUGAAAUAUCCCGGCUUAACUGGGAGGGUGGCAUUGAUACUGUGGAGCUAGAGUACAGAUGAGGUAGGCGGAAUUGACGGUGUAGCGGUGAAAAUGCUUAGAUAU
RNAcentral lists this ribosomal RNA (675 nucleotides) under uncultured bacterium. RNAcentral's name for it is "bacterial SSU rRNA". It matches the Rfam family "Bacterial small subunit ribosomal RNA", at positions 28 to 697 of the family's 1533-position model. The record is from RNAcentral.